GACGAACGCUGGCGGCGUGCCUAAUACAUGCAAGUUGAGCGCUGAAGGUUGGUACUUGUACCAACUGGAUGAGCAGCGAACGGGUGAGUAACGCGUGGGGAAUCUGCCUUUGAGCGGGGGACAACAUUUGGAAACGAAUGCUAAUACCGCAUAAAAACUUUAAACACAAGUUUUAAGUUUGAAAGAUGCAAUUGCAUCACUCAAAGAUGAUCCCGCGUUGUAUUAGCUAGUUGGUGAGGUAAAGGCUCACCCAGGCGAUGAUACAUAGCCGACCUGAGAGGGUGAUCGGCCACAUUGGGACUGAGACACGGCCCAAACUCCUACGGGAGGCAGCAGUAGGGAAUCUUCGGCAAUGGACGAAAGUCUGACCGAGCAACGCCGCGUGAGUGAAGAAGGUUUUCGGAUCGGAAAACUCUGUUGGUAGAGAAGAACGUUGGUGAGAGUGGAAAGCUCAUCAAGUGACGGUAACUACCCAGAAAGGGACGGCUAACUACGUG
RNAcentral lists this ribosomal RNA (497 nucleotides) under uncultured bacterium. RNAcentral's name for it is "partial 16S ribosomal RNA". It matches the Rfam family "Bacterial small subunit ribosomal RNA", at positions 28 to 507 of the family's 1533-position model. The record is from RNAcentral.